UGGGGAAUCUUGCGCAAUGGGCGACAGCCUGACGCAGCAACGCCGCGUGAGGGAAGAAGGCCUUCGGGUCGUAAACCUCUUUCAGGGGGACGAAGCUUUGCCGGUGAAUAGCCGUGUGAAGUGACGGUACCUCCACAAGCAGCCCCGGCUAACUACGUGCCAGCAGCCGCGGUAAUACGUAGGGGGCUAGCGUUGUCCGGAAUCAUUGGGCGUAAAGCGCGCGUAGGCGGCCAGAUAAGUCCGGUGUGAAAGUCAAAGGCUCAACCUUUGAAUGCCGCUGGAAACUGUCUGGCUAGAGUCCGGAAGGGCCGAGUGGAACUCCUGGUGUAGCGGUGAAAUGCGCAGAUAUCAGGAAGAACACCAAUGGCGAAGGCAGCUCGCUAGGACGGUACUGACGCUGAGGCGCGAAAGCGUGGGGAGCAAACAGGAUUAGAUACCCCAGUAGUCCCUGAGCGGGCUGGCAAGGCGCAU
Molecule: ribosomal RNA, 471 nt
Filed under: uncultured bacterium
Lineage: Bacteria
Description: bacterial SSU rRNA
Rfam family: Bacterial small subunit ribosomal RNA
Source: RNAcentral